Molecule: ribosomal RNA, 468 nt
Filed under: uncultured bacterium
Lineage: Bacteria
Description: partial 16S ribosomal RNA
Rfam family: Bacterial small subunit ribosomal RNA
Source: RNAcentral
GAUGAACGCUGGCGGCGUGCUUAACACAUGCAAGUCGAACGGAAAGGCCCUGCUUUUGUGGGGUGCUCGAGUGGCGAAAGGGUGAGUAACACGUGAGUAACCUGCCCUUGACUUUGGGAUAACUUCAGGAAACUGGGGCUAAUAUCGGAUAGGAGCUCCUGCUGCAUGGUGGGGGUUGGAAAGUUUCGGCGGUUGGGGAUGGACUCGCGGCUUAUGAGCUUGUUGGUGGGGUAGUGGCUUACCAAGGCUUUGACGGGUAGCCGGCCUGGGAGGGUGACCGGCCACAUUGGGACUGAGGUACGGCCCAGACUCCAACGGGAGGCAGCAGUGGGGAGUAUUGCACAAUGGGCGGAAGCCUGAUGCAACAGCGCCGCGUGCGGGAUGACGGCCUUCGGGUUGUAAACCGCUUUCGCCUGUGACGAAGCGUGAGUGACGGUAAUGGAUAAAGAAGCAGCGGCUAACUACGUG